This 350-nucleotide unclassified non-coding RNA is filed under the name soil metagenome. RNAcentral describes it as "partial contains 5.8S ribosomal RNA, internal transcribed spacer 2, and large subunit ribosomal RNA". The stretch from base 1 to 120 matches the Rfam family "5.8S ribosomal RNA", at positions 35 to 154 of the family's 154-position model. The record is from RNAcentral.
GAUGAAGAACGUAGCGAAACGCGAUAUGUAAUGUGAAUUGCAGAAUUCAGUGAAUCAUCGAAUCUUUGAACGCACAUGGCGCCUUCCAGUAUCCUGGGAGGCAUGCCUGUCCGAGCGUCGUUUCAACCCUCGAGCCCCCGUGGCCCGGCGUUGGGGAUCUGCCACGGCAGGCCCCUAAAACCAGUGGCGGACCCGAAGGCCCUCUCCUUUGCGCAGUAGCAUCAGCCUCGCAUUGGGAUCCCUCGGCGUCCUGCCUCUAAACCCCCCACAAGUCCGCUCCGGCGGCACCAAGGUUGACCUCGGAUCAGGUAGGAAUACCCGCUGAACUUAAGCAUAUCAAAAGCGGAGGA